This 253-nucleotide ribosomal RNA is filed under the name uncultured bacterium. Its description in RNAcentral is "partial 16S ribosomal RNA". It matches the Rfam family "Bacterial small subunit ribosomal RNA", at positions 524 to 776 of the family's 1533-position model. The record is from RNAcentral.
UACGGAGGGUGCAAGCGUUGUUCGGAUUUAUUGGGCGUAAAGCGCGUGUAGGCGGUUUCUUAAGUCUGAUGUGAAAGCCCUGGGCUCAACCCAGGAAGUGCAUUGGAUACUGGGAGACUUGAAUACGGGAGAGGGUAGUGGAAUUCCUAGUGUAGGAGUGAAAUCCGUAGAUAUUAGGAAGAACACCGGUGGCGAAGGCGGCUACCUGGACCGAUAUUGACGCUGAGACGCGAAAGCGUGGGGAGCAAACAGG